GACAGAGGGGGCAAGCGUUGCUCGGAAUCACUGGGCGUAAAGGGCGCGUAGGCGGGAUGGCAAGUCGGUCGUGAAAUCCUUCGGCUCAACCGAAGAACGUCGGCCGAUACUGCCGUUCUUGAGGGAUGCAGAGGAGAUUGGAAUUCCCGGUGUAGCGGUGAAAUGUGUAGAGAUCGGGAGGAACACCGGUGGCGAAGGCGGGUCUCUGGGCAUCUCCUGACGUUGAGGCGCGAAAGCGUGGGGAGCAAACGGG
Molecule: ribosomal RNA, 253 nt
Filed under: uncultured bacterium
Lineage: Bacteria
Description: partial 16S ribosomal RNA
Rfam family: Bacterial small subunit ribosomal RNA
Source: RNAcentral